RNAcentral lists this long non-coding RNA (735 nucleotides) under Equus caballus (horse). Its description in RNAcentral is "lncRNA (ENSECAG00000053090.1)". The record is from RNAcentral. Lineage: Eukaryota; Metazoa; Chordata; Mammalia; Perissodactyla; Equidae.
GAGAAGUCUGCAUUUUGCUCAGAAAUAACUGAAGCAAUGGGUCUCAAAUUGUGGUCCCUGGACCAGGAGCAUCAAAAUCACCUGGAACUUGUUAGAAAAGCAAGUUCAGGGGCUCCAUCCAUAUGUGCUGGAUCAGAAUGACUGAGGAUGGAGUCCAGCAAUCUGUGCUUUAACGAAAGGCCUCUAGGUGAGGUCCUGGCAUAAAGAACCCUAAGAGCAGGGCUGAUCCCUGAGAGCAAGUAUUUAUUGAACAUCUACUAUUACCUGGCCAUGGGUUAAGCUUAUGUUCACUUUUUCAUCGCGCAAUAAAUGGCUGUAGAAAGAAAGAACUAGAAAAGGGAGGAAAAGAGGAGAGAUUCUAUGUCCCUACGCGCUAAAGAUUUUGAAGCUUUCUUACCCUGCCUUUACGAGUUAAUAUGAGCCAGUGAACACUGUGUUUGCUCAGCCCAUCCAUCCACACCAGAGUCAUAAAAUACAUAUGGCUGAAGAACUGGAAGAUUCCUUAGAAACGAUCUACUCUAGGCCCUACAGAAAAGGAUAGAGAGAUCAAAAAAAAAAAAAAAAAUUCUGGAAAAUGUUUUGGAAGAAAGAAAUGAAAAGAUGACUAUGUCGGACAUAUGUGGACCUACUUUAGAAAUGAGAGCCCAGAAACUGAAGUUCUCCCUUUGCAAAUCAGCCACUGCAAAUUGAAGGAUAUAAUCAAGACUAAUAGAGCAAACAAUCAAAUGCCAAGUA